AUCUAUUCUUAUGAUGUCUAAGAAGUAAGAACUAAUAUUUUGGUAUCUUUUGUGUCACUUCAAACAUACUGAUUAAAAAGCUAGAGCUCAAGAUAAUUUCAUAAAUUGGUUGGGGACUUUGCGAAAGGCUUUUGUUUUUUAAGCCCCUUGCUCUUUUCCUUUGCCGCUUGGCAUACUUUGUAUACAACCUAUGUACUUUGUUGUGUGUUUUUUUAGGCAAUUAUUAUAUAUUUUUGCUUGCCUAUAAAAAAAAAAAGGCAGCUAGAGCUGGUUCUUUUCAUGGCUCUUCCUAUCAUUUGUUUAGUUUUAAAAAUAUUGAUAGGCAUUAUUGAGUUCGGGGAUAAACUAACCAUAUUCAGGUCAUCCUUGAAAUAAAAGGGAUGCAUGUCACUGAACUUUCUCCUUUUAUCAAGUAUUUUGCUUGUAUUGUUCAAAUUAAUGAUACCCUCUGAAGGAAAUGGAUGCUUCUACCAAAAAACAAAAUUAAAGUCUGGUUGUUCCCUAGAAAAUAAUUCAAUUUCCUCUCUCUCCUGUAGUUCUGAGAAAAGAGAAAUAUUUCUUAGAAGUCAGAGCAAAGGGUAUUAGAAGGCUGGCGCUUGAUCAAAGAACAAGGCCGAUAAGCAAACAGGGGUGUGCAUCUGAAAAAUAGCACACACAGAAAGAGACAAAGACAGAGAGAUGGGGCACACCAGCAAUGAUCUUCUGCACUUGGAGCAUAAGGCCUCUUCUUCUUCAUCCCUAGAAUCCACACUUCUUGUUUGCAAGAAUGGGUCAGAGUCCAAGUUGCAGAAACCUAAUCACCCUAAGGGAAAACCCAUCACUACCCCACUGCCUUCAAGCCAAGUUCUGGGAAAAGUGAAAGAUUUCCUAGGAGUCAUAUCAGAAGCUAAUAAAAAGCUGGAGCUAAAAAAAGAAAAAAAAAUGGAAUUAUAGAAUAUGCUUUUCCCCAGAAUUUGAAUUUGAUGCCCAAUUUCCUCACUUUACUGCAGUUCUGGGAAAAGUGAAAGAUUUCCUAGGAGUCAUAUCAGAAGCUAAUAAAAAGCUGGAGCUUGAUGCAAAGGACAAUUCCGGUAAGGACUAUGAUAUUGAGGUGCUCAUGGGGAAUGAAUCUGAAUACAUUGAAAUGGAUUUGAUGCUGGGUAUUGCUGAUCUGCAGACUCCUGAGGCUGUGGCAGCAGCUGAAUCUUCUAUUGCAGGUUUUCAACCAGUGGUUCCUCUAGCUGGUUGCAGUAGUGGAACAGAAUCUGAAGAUAGCUCUAAUUAUGGUGAUAGUGAUAAUGACGAUGAUGAGGACAGCGAUGAUGAUAAAAAUGAUGACAAAAAUAAUAAUAAAGCAUGCUUUGUUGUGAAACAUAAAAGAUCAAAGUCUGCUCAUGGGGAUUCUUCCAUGGAAGUGCCCCAAAAAAAUGGGGGUUCAAAAAAGCGGCCAAAGAUUGUUGAGCUCUCGUGAGAAUCUUAAUUAGAAAUAGGACAGUGAAAUCUACUCAUGGGGAUUGUUUUCUAGGAAUGAGAGGGAAACCAUCAGGAUUAUAAGGGUUGCAGCAAGCAUGAAAGGCAUUUCUCUGCAGGAAGGAGGGAGCUUUCUGAAUGUCUGAUGAGGCUGUAAUUUAUGCAGCGGUGGGAUUUUUGCUUCUCCAUUAAUAUCUAUCAGGGCAUAUGCCAUACUAGACAGCUAAUGGAGAAAACAGUCCUGUGAGUACCCUUCAAAUUUUGAAUGUCAUGGAAGCUUUGUGAUGUUUUUAUUCUACCAAAUCUGUUGUCAUUAAAUUUUCUACAUUUCAGUUUUGUAAUUAAAUUUUCCAUUCCAUUAUAUUCCCAAUGCCUUCCCAUAUACCAGUUCAUUGAGGUACAGAAAUGCCUUUGUGGAGCCUCAUUCUGGACUAAUGUAUGAAAUUUGGACCAAGGCUAAAAAUAUGAGGAGAUAUACACAAAAUCUGGGUGGAUACAUCCAGACCUGAUAUUUCUGGAUUUUUUCAUCAUUUAUUAUGAUUUUUGGUCUUUCCAUCCAUUUUUGAUUGAUAUAUCAGGAUUGUCCUGAUUUUUCGGCAGUCAAAGCUCAGUUGGUAGAGCUUUGCUCUUGCAAUUGGGUUGUAGCAGUUACGUGUUGGACUUGUACCUGAACCCGUGGCUCACUUUUUUCGAAGUAAUGGGGAAGAGGACCAAAACGUGUCAUUGAAAGACUUUAAUGAGACAAAGAUGGGCUAUCAAGAAUGUAUAGAGAGUUGGACAUUGAAGGUGGAAAGAAGAUGAA
Long non-coding RNA from Vitis riparia (riverbank grape), 2251 nucleotides. RefSeq lists it as uncharacterized. The record is from RefSeq and is a predicted model, not a curated record. Lineage: Eukaryota; Viridiplantae; Streptophyta; Magnoliopsida; Vitales; Vitaceae. The transcript has 7 exons.